GACGAACGCUGGCGGCGUGCCUAAUACAUGCAAGUCGAGCGAAGUUUUUCUGGUGCUUGCACUAGAAAAACUUAGCGGCGAACGGGUGAGUAACACGUAAAGAACCUGCCUCAUAGACUGGGACAACUAUUGGAAACGAUAUCUAAUACCGGAUAACAGUAUUUCUCGCAUGAGAGAUAUUUAAAAGUUGGUUAUGCUAACACUAUGAGAUGGCUUUGCGGUGCAUUAGCUAGUUGGUGGGGUAAAGGCCCACCAAGGCGACGAUGCAUAGCCGACCUGAGAGGGUGAUCGGCCACACUGGGACUGAGACACGGCCCAGACUCCUACGGGAGGCAGCAGUAGGGAAUCUUCCGCAAUGGGCGAAAGCCUGACGGAGCAACGCCGCGUGAGUGAAGAAGGAUUUCGGUUCGUAAAGCUCUGUUGUUAGGGAAGAAUGGAUAUGUAGUAACUAUACAUGUAAGAGACGGUACCUAACCAGAAAGCCACGGCUAACUACGUG
This 499-nucleotide ribosomal RNA is filed under the name uncultured bacterium. RNAcentral describes it as "partial 16S ribosomal RNA". It matches the Rfam family "Bacterial small subunit ribosomal RNA", at positions 28 to 507 of the family's 1533-position model. The record is from RNAcentral.